This 723-nucleotide ribosomal RNA is filed under the name unidentified archaeon. Its description in RNAcentral is "bacterial SSU rRNA". It matches the Rfam family "Archaeal small subunit ribosomal RNA", at positions 113 to 837 of the family's 1478-position model. The record is from RNAcentral.
CCUCAGCACGGGGAUAAACCCGGGAAACUGGGUAUAAUACCCGAUAGUUCUGGGAUGCUGGAAUGCUUCCAGGACGAAAGCUCCGGCGACUGAGGAUGGGUCUGCGGCCUAUCAGGUAGUAGUGGGUGUAAUGUACCUACUAGCCUACGACGGGUACGGGUCGUGAGAGCGAGAGCCCGGAGAUGGAUUCUGAGACACGAAUCCAGGCCCUACGGGGUGCAGCAGGCGCGAAAACUUUACAAUGCUGGCAACAGCGAUAAGGGGACCUCGAGUGCCAGGAUACAAUCUUGGCUGUCGUAAUGCCUAAAAAGCAUUACAUAGCAAGGGCCGGGCAAGACCGGUGCCAGCCGCCGCGGUAACACCGGCGGCUCGAGUGGUAACCGCUAUUAUUGGGUCUAAAGGGUCUGUAGCCGGCCGGAUAAGUCUUUUGGGAAAUCCAGCUGCUCAACAGUUGGGCUUUCAGAAGAUACUGUUCGGCUCGAGGCCGGGAGAGGUGAGAGGUACUUCAGGGGUAGGGGUGAAAUCUUGUAAUCCUUGAAGGACCACCAGUGGCGAAGGCGUCUCACCAGAACGGUCCUGACGGCAAGGGACGAAAGCUAGGGGCACGAACCGGAUUAGAUACCCGGGUAGUCCUAGCCGUAAACGAUACUCGCUAGGUGUCAGCCACGGUGCGACCGUGGUUGGUGCCGUAGGGAAGCCGUGAAGCGAGCCACCUGGGAAGUA